AUACGGAGGAUCCGAGCGUUAUCCGGAUUUAUUGGGUUUAAAGGGUGCGUAGGUGGUUUGAUAAGUCAGCGGUGAAAGUUUGCAGCUUAACUGUAAAAAUGCCGUUGAAACUGUCGGACUUGAGUGUAAAUGAGGUAGGCGGAAUGCGUGGUGUAGCGGUGAAAUGCAUAGAUAUCACGCAGAACUCCGAUUGCGAAGGCAGCUUACUAAGCUACAACUGACACUGAAGCACGAAAGCGUGGGGAUCAAACAGGAUUAGAUACCCUGGUAUUCCACGCCGUAAACGAUGAUGACUAACCGUCGGCGAUAGACAGCCGGUGGCCAAGCGAAAGCGAUAAGUCAUCCACCUGGGGAGUACGUCGGCAACGAUGAAACUCAAAUGAAUUGGCGGGG
RNAcentral lists this ribosomal RNA (393 nucleotides) under uncultured bacterium. RNAcentral's name for it is "partial 16S ribosomal RNA". It matches the Rfam family "Bacterial small subunit ribosomal RNA", at positions 523 to 918 of the family's 1533-position model. The record is from RNAcentral.